This 425-nucleotide unclassified non-coding RNA is filed under the name soil metagenome. Its description in RNAcentral is "partial contains 5.8S ribosomal RNA, internal transcribed spacer 2, and large subunit ribosomal RNA". The stretch from base 1 to 121 matches the Rfam family "5.8S ribosomal RNA", at positions 35 to 154 of the family's 154-position model. The record is from RNAcentral.
GAUGAAGAACGCAGCGAAUCGCGAUAAGUAAUGUGAAUUGCAGAUUUUCCGUGAAUCAUCGAAUCUUUGAACGCACCUUGCGCUCCUUGGUAUUCCGAGGAGCAUGCCUGUUUGAGUGUCAUCGAAACCUCGGAUCGACGCUUCGACCCCGUCGAAGCUCGGUUCGGACUGUGGGAGUCUGCCGGCGAAGCGUGACUUCGUCGGCUCUCCUCAAAAGCAUUAGCUGUGGGUGGCGAGCCUGGCAUGGCACGGCCUGUUCGACGUCGUAGUGAUCGUCGCGGGCUGGAAGUGUAUGGCUCGACGUGACCCAUGCUUCUCGAGUCUUGCGAGCCCGUCCCUCUGUGGGACGGCCGCGCCCCAUCGAAGCUUGACCUCAAAUCAGGUAGGACUACCCGCCGAACUUAAGCAUAUCAAUAAGCGGAGGA